This is a ribosomal RNA of 573 nucleotides. It matches the Rfam family "Bacterial small subunit ribosomal RNA", at positions 287 to 870 of the family's 1533-position model.
CCGGCCUGAGAGGGCGACCGGCCACACUGGGACUGAGACACGGCCCAGACUCCUACGGGAGGCAGCAGUGGGGAAUAUUGCACAAUGGGCGAAAGCCUGAUGCAGCGACGCCGCGUGAGGGAUGACGGCCUUCGGGUUGUAAACCUCUUUCAGCAGGGAAGAAGCGAAAGUGACGGUACCUGCAGAAGAAGCGCCGGCUAACUACGUGCCAGCAGCCGCGGUAAUACGUAGGGCGCAAGCGUUGUCCGGAAUUAUUGGGCGUAAAGAGCUCGUAGGCGGCUUGUCACGUCGGAUGUGAAAGCCCGGGGCUUAACCCCGGGUCUGCAUUCGAUACGGGCUAGCUAGAGUGUGGUAGGGGAGAUCGGAAUUCCUGGUGUAGCGGUGAAAUGCGCAGAUAUCAGGAGGAACACCGGUGGCGAAGGCGGAUCUCUGGGCCAUUACUGACGCUGAGGAGCGAAAGCGUGGGGAGCGAACAGGAUUAGAUACCCUGGUAGUCCACGCCGUAAACGUUGGGAACUAGGUGUUGGCGACAUUCCACGUCGUCGGUGCCGCAGCUAACGCAUUAAGUUCCCC